Molecule: long non-coding RNA, 658 nt
Organism: Carassius carassius (crucian carp)
Lineage: Eukaryota; Metazoa; Chordata; Actinopteri; Cypriniformes; Cyprinidae
Exons: 3
Source: RefSeq, a predicted model, not a curated record
AAAGUGGUUCCAAUUAAUAUUUUGGUCAAAUGGACUUUAUGUAAUAACUCACCCAAAACCAUUUGCUGGAUAACAAAAAUAUACAUUUUGGUACAUUUCUUACACAACGCUGUGAUAUGGCUUCAGAAAACUUGGAAUAUAAGGCAAAACUUGUAUAAACUACUUUUAUGAUAUUUCCAUGGUGCAUUCUUUUUGAAGUUUUAAAGCUUGAGACCAACUUCAGUGUGAUUAAAUCGGCAACCUGUCAAAUCAAAUCAUAUGGGUUCAGACCAAUAUGAGGAUAAGUAAAUGAACACAGAAUGUUCAUUUUUGGUAAAGUAUUCCUUAAAUUAUCUUUGUUCUUCAGAAAACAUUUGCUGAUUUGCGCAUUGAUAAAGAGCUCUGUGUUUUUUUACUGCAGGGUGAGUGGGCUCAACCAGGAUAGCGAGAAACCAUAAUCUGGGUGGAGUCCUGUGUUUUCUCCAUUUAACCAUUUCAGGAAGGAUCUCUGACCUGCAAUACCCUGAGAAGACGACCGUCUCUCAAGACAGACACUGGUACCAAAUCAUGUGGUCAGGUUAGCUGUGAUUUAUCAUUUCUGGUGAAUAAGUAAACAGACUGAGAAUGUGGAUGGUGCCUACCUGCUCUGUGUCUGUGAGAGUGUAGCGUGCUUUGAAGU